GGGCUGCAGUAUUUUGACUGUACAAAGGUAGCAUAAUCAAUAGUCUCUUAAUUGGUGACUUGUAUGAAAGAUUGGAUGAGAUAUAAACUGUCUCUAAUUAAUUUAUAAAAAUUAAUUUUUUAGUAAAAAAGCUAAAAUAAUUUUAAAAGACGAGAAGACCCUAUAGAGUUUAAUAUUUUAUUUAGUAAUUAUUAAUAUAUGUAAUUUUAAAAAUUAAAAUUAAAUGAAAUAUUUUGUUGGGGUGAUAAAAAAAUUAAAUUAACUUUUUUUGAUUGUAUACAUUAAUUUAUGGUUAAAUGAUCCAUUUAUAGUGAUUAAAAGAAAAAAUUACCUUAGGGAUAACAGCGUAAUUUUUUUUUUUAGUUCAAAUAGGAAAAAAAGUUUGCGACCUCGAUGUUGGAUUAA
Molecule: ribosomal RNA, 405 nt
Filed under: Papilio bridgei bridgei
Lineage: Eukaryota; Metazoa; Arthropoda; Insecta; Lepidoptera; Papilionidae
Description: partial 16S ribosomal RNA
Source: RNAcentral